Molecule: long non-coding RNA, 555 nt
Filed under: Hordeum vulgare
Lineage: Eukaryota; Viridiplantae; Streptophyta; Magnoliopsida; Poales; Poaceae
Description: long non-coding RNA (HVUL_LNC012083)
Source: RNAcentral
UUUUUGUUGGAACCGGAAAAAUCUUAGAAUCAUUAGCUAUCUGACAGCAUCUGGCUGUUUAUUUUCGAGUUCUGCCUUCGUGACCAUGAGCAAUAACAAUGUUUUAAAUAGCGGGCUACAGCAAAUAGCGGCGAGCCUCUAAAUCAGCUAUAGUGAAGUUAUAGCGGGCUAUAGCGAUAUAUUUAUACAUGAUACCAUUUAGCGGCACCUUGUUAAAAAGGCUAUAACGAGGCUAUAGCGGAGCUAUAGCGGGCUAUUUAAAAGUAUGGCAAUAACUUGUAGUGCACAGCCUUCAGGAUCAUUGGUCCACGGACGGCGUAGUGCUUUUCCUUUCCUUUCUGCUUGGACAUGAAACUGUUGCGUGCCAACAAGGACUGGAGAAUGGAGAUACGUGAUAUAGGAUAAUCCAAGCAAGCUUUUCCUGAUCUUAACCAUCCAUUAAUGCCUGAUUAUCAGUGGCACCUGCGGUUUUGGACUGUACUAAUAAAGAAAAACUGCUUCUUCUACUGAUUGUUGUGAAUGAUCCAUGAAGCUGGCGGGUCGGAGCGGUGGGCA